ACCACGGGUAGCCCUACAUGGAAGUUGUACAGCCAGCAGAGAGCACAGGAGCAGAGUUAUGGCAAGAGGCACAUCACCGGGUCUCUGAUGAGAUCAGCCAUGGAUACUGUGGAGUGAGAAGGAAGUCCCUUAUCACAGCACACAUGGAUUGAGAGUGCACAUAACCAUUGGUUUUGGAAUAAACCUUUGGAGACUGCAGCAUUUCUUGCACUACACAAAGUAGAAGAUUGUCCAGUCCUUCAGCCUCAAUUUUUUGUUCCUGUUUUCUUGGUAUUGGUACACGUGGGACAAAGAAAAUGAUGUGGCAGCCAGGUGAGCAGUUGCAUCUUUUCCUUCUUUGCUUCCUUAGAUAUACUUCCUUGCCACAGUUUUUCCUUUUUUUUUUGACUGAUUGGCCUCUGCCAGGUUCUUCCUCGUGCAACGUUCUUCCUCUUGCCCUGUCCUCUUUCCGCACCUUCAUCUCUGCCUCUCUGAAACGGUUCAUACGAUGAAGAGUCUGAAUCUCCACGAGGAGAUUAUAUCCUUUCUGCCACCAG
RNAcentral lists this long non-coding RNA (536 nucleotides) under Gallus gallus (chicken). Its description in RNAcentral is "long non-coding RNA NONGGAT004218". The record is from RNAcentral. Lineage: Eukaryota; Metazoa; Chordata; Aves; Galliformes; Phasianidae.